Molecule: unclassified non-coding RNA, 217 nt
Filed under: Hevea brasiliensis (rubber tree)
Lineage: Eukaryota; Viridiplantae; Streptophyta; Magnoliopsida; Malpighiales; Euphorbiaceae
Source: RNAcentral
AUGGAAAUGGCUCAAAGAAGGCUAUUCCUUCUUGUUGCUUGAAGGCUAGAGCCUCUGCACCUGAGCUUGAUGCCAAAUGCCAUUCGACAGUUGUUUCUGGGUGGUUCUCAGAAUCUUAUUCCUGCUCUGGUAAAGGUAGCAAAAGGGUUUACUUCAACAACCCGAUGUGGCCUGGAGAAGCACAUUCAUUGGAGGCAAAGAACAUUUUGUACAAGGG